UUCUUUCCUCCCGAGUGCUUGCACUCAAUUGGAAAGAGGAGUGGCGGACGGGUGAGUAACACGUGGGUAACCUACCCAUCAGAGGGGGAUAACACUUGGAAACAGGUGCUAAUACCGCAUAACAGUUUAUGCCGCAUGGCAUAAGAGUGAAAGGCGCUUUCGGGUGUCGCUGAUGGAUGGACCCGCGGUGCAUUAGCUAGUUGGUGAGGUAACGGCUCACCAAGGCCACGAUGCAUAGCCGACCUGAGAGGGUGAUCGGCCACACUGGGACUGAGACACGGCCCAGACUCCUACGGGAGGCAGCAGUAGGGAAUCUUCGGCAAUGGACGAAAGUCUGACCGAGCAACGCCGCGUGAGUGAAGAAGGUUUUCGGAUCGUAAAACUCUGUUGUUAGAGAAGAACAAGGACGUUAGUAACUGAACGUCCCCUGACGGUAUCUAACCAGAAAGCCACGGCUAACUACGUGCCAGCAGCCGCGGUAAUACGUAGGUGGCAAGCGUUGUCCGGAUUUAUUGGGCGUAAAGCGAGCGCAGGCGGUUUCUUAAGUCUGAUGUGAAAGCCCCCGGCUCAACCGGGGAGGGUCAUUGGAAACUGGGAGACUUGAGUGCAGAAGAGGAGAGUGGAAUUCCAUGUGUAGCGGUGAAAUGCGUAGAUAUAUGGAGGAACACCAGUGGCGAACGCGGCUCUCUGGUCUGUAACUGACGCUGAGGCUCGAAAGCGUGGGGAGCAAACAGGAUUAGAUACCCUGGUAGUCCACGCCGUAAACGAUGAGUGCUAAGUGUUGGAGGGUUUCCGCCCUUCAGUGCUGCAGCAAACGCAUUUAAGCACUCCGCCUGGGGAGUACGACCGCAAGGUUGAAACUCAAAGGAAUUGACGGGGGCCCGCACAAGCGGUGGAGCAUGUGGUUUAAUUUCGAAAGCAACGCGAAGAACCUUUACCAGGUCUUGAACAUCCUUUGACCACUCUAGAG
RNAcentral lists this ribosomal RNA (970 nucleotides) under Enterococcus faecalis. RNAcentral describes it as "bacterial SSU rRNA". It matches the Rfam family "Bacterial small subunit ribosomal RNA", at positions 65 to 1005 of the family's 1533-position model. Lineage: Bacteria; Bacillati; Bacillota; Bacilli; Lactobacillales; Enterococcaceae. The record is from RNAcentral.